Molecule: unclassified non-coding RNA, 569 nt
Filed under: Hevea brasiliensis (rubber tree)
Lineage: Eukaryota; Viridiplantae; Streptophyta; Magnoliopsida; Malpighiales; Euphorbiaceae
Source: RNAcentral
ACUCCUUCAAGGUUGAAAAAUAAUGCAUAUCUAUCAAAAGAAUCAAAUAAUGCACAUUAAUAAGUCUAACACAACAGGAGAAAAAUGCUGCACUUCUCGUAAGAUUACAAAAGCCAAUUGCAUAUUUUAAUUUGCGACUUCCAAUGGAUGAUUGGAUCCCUUAUAGCUGGCUGUAAAAGUGGAAAUAAAAGUCCAAAUUUGCAUCAAAUCAAUCAUCAUAAGUCCAUUUUCCACAAAAUGAAAGGCAACGAUAUCAUUUACUCCAACCAUUGAGAAAGCAACUACCAAAGAUAUAAAACUAAGGAAGAACAUAGAAUGUUUACAUCCUCUAUCUUCUGAGUUUUACCACGUUGUAAGUCUUGGCCAAAGUACUUCUUUCACAGAAAUCUUUUUAAGGGUAAUGAAACGCUUAUUGCUUUUACUGGAUAGUAUUUAUUUUUUUAAUGUCCUCUUUGCAAUUCCUUCUUACCAAACUAUUCCAGCGAAUGCAAGAUUUUAUAUUAAUGAUCAGUCUGAUUAUGUUAUAUAUCAAUUCAUAUUGAGCAUCAAAAACCUAAGAACAUCAAGGG